AGCGCAGACGGUUAUUUAAGCAAGAUGUGAAAGCCCCGGGCUCAACCUGGGAACUGCGUUUUGAACUGGGUAGCUAGAGUGUGUCAGAGGGGGGUAGGAAUUCCACGUGUAGCAGUGAAAUGCGUAGAGAUGUGGAGGAAUACCGAUGGCGAAGGCAGCCCCCUGGGAUAACACUGACGUUCAUGCUCGAAAGCGUGGGGAGCAAACA
Molecule: ribosomal RNA, 208 nt
Filed under: uncultured bacterium
Lineage: Bacteria
Description: partial 16S ribosomal RNA
Rfam family: Bacterial small subunit ribosomal RNA
Source: RNAcentral